RNAcentral lists this non-coding RNA (100 nucleotides) under uncultured Clostridium sp. RNAcentral's name for it is "SAM riboswitch (S box leader)". It matches the Rfam family "SAM riboswitch aptamer (S box leader)". From Rfam's summary of the family: The SAM riboswitch is found upstream of a number of genes which code for proteins involved in methionine or cysteine biosynthesis in Gram-positive bacteria. The SAM riboswitch acts at the level of transcription termination control. The record is from RNAcentral. Lineage: Bacteria; Bacillati; Bacillota; Clostridia; Eubacteriales; Clostridiaceae.
UCUUAUCGCGAGAGACUGAGGGACUGGCCCCAUGAUGUCCGGCAACCUAAAAUUAUAUUUUAAGGUGCUAAUUCCAGCAGGUGAUACCUGGAAGAUAAGA